This 254-nucleotide ribosomal RNA is filed under the name uncultured bacterium. Its description in RNAcentral is "partial 16S ribosomal RNA". It matches the Rfam family "Bacterial small subunit ribosomal RNA", at positions 524 to 776 of the family's 1533-position model. The record is from RNAcentral.
UACGUAGGGUGCAAGCGUUAAUCGGAAUUACUGGGCGUAAAGCGUGCGCAGGCGGUUAUGUAAGACAGAUGUGAAAUGCCCGGGCUUAACCUGGGAACUGCAUUUGUGACUGUACGGCUAGAGUGUGUCAGAGGGGGGUAGAAUUCCACGUGUAGCAGUGAAAUGCGUAGAGAUGUGGAGGAAUACCGAUGGCGAAGGCAGCCCCCUGGGAUAACACUGACGCCUCAUGCACGAAAGCGUGGGGAGCAAACAGG